CCCAAGGGGUCGUGACCCUUCUCGGAGGCUCCAAGUCUGCAGAUAACUUAAGUCCUCGGCACUCGCGACCUGCCGCCCCUCCUCCUCUCCUACCCACUGCAGGAUCCGGAGUUUCUUUUGGGAACCUCCGGAGGGAUGGAUGGAGCCUGAAGAUUCGGGAAAUAGGAAAUCCGCGCUGAUCAGAUGGCCGGCGGAAGCGCGCAGCCAGAUAGAGGGCAAAUAGAAGCAAUAUUCACAGGCAGAACCUGGAAACAAAGUCUCAAAAAGACCCUGAGAUAACAAUUCUCCUAUGGUGGUCAGGCAAAGGCAUGGACAGAACUAUCUUCACAGAAGCCACAGCACUUCACAGACACCACUCCUGGAAGAAAACUAUGGGGACAAUAAAAAUCACAACUCACCAAUCAGCCCUCUUAGCAACCAUGAACCCUUACUACCCAUGAAUGUCAGACUUCCCUUAGAAAUGGUAUGAUCCUGGGCUUCCCCAGUGGCGCAGCGGUUGAGCGCUGGGUUGAGAAGCUGCCCGCGGCCUCUGUGGCACAGGUUCUAUCCCCGGCUGCUCCCCGGCCACUGGAGGAGGGUCCCACAUGGUGCGCGGACCUCUCCUGCCGCCCGCUGCUCCCCUCAGCAGUGUACU
This is a long non-coding RNA of Talpa occidentalis (Iberian mole), 634 nucleotides long. RefSeq lists it as uncharacterized. The record is from RefSeq and is a predicted model, not a curated record. The transcript is spliced from 3 exons. Lineage: Eukaryota; Metazoa; Chordata; Mammalia; Eulipotyphla; Talpidae.